UACGUAGGUGGCGAGCGUUGUCCGGAAUUACUGGGCGUAAAGGGCGUGUAGGCGGUCUAGCAAGUCUAAUGUGAAACCCCAGGGCUUAACCUUGGGCAUGCAUAAGAAACUGCAGGACUUGAGGGCAAGAGAGGAAAGUGGAAUUCCUAGUGUAGCGGUGAAAUGCGUAGAUAUUAGGAGGAACACCGGUGGCGAAGGCGACUUUCUGGAUUGUCCCUGACGCUGAGGCGCGAAAGCGUGGGGAGCAAACAGGAUUAGAUACCCCCGUAGUCC
RNAcentral lists this ribosomal RNA (273 nucleotides) under uncultured bacterium. RNAcentral describes it as "partial 16S ribosomal RNA". It matches the Rfam family "Bacterial small subunit ribosomal RNA", at positions 524 to 796 of the family's 1533-position model. The record is from RNAcentral.